Molecule: ribosomal RNA, 253 nt
Filed under: uncultured Pelagibacterales bacterium
Lineage: Bacteria; Pseudomonadati; Pseudomonadota; Alphaproteobacteria; Candidatus Pelagibacterales
Description: partial 16S ribosomal RNA
Rfam family: Bacterial small subunit ribosomal RNA
Source: RNAcentral
UACGAAGGGACCUAGCGUAGUUCGGAAUUACUGGGCUUAAAGAGUACGUAGGUGGUUAGAAAAGUUGGUGGUGAAAGCCCAAGGCUCAACCUUGGAACUGCCGCCAAAACUUUUUAACUAGAGUAUGAUAGAGGUAAGCGGAAUUUCUAGUGUAGAGGUGAAAUUCGUAGAUAUUAGAAAGAACACCAAUUGCGAAGGCAGCUUUCUGGAUCAUUACUGACACUGAGGUACGAAAGCAUGGGUAGCGAAGAGG